ACGACUCUCGGCAACGGAUAUCUCGGCUCUCGCAUCGAUGAAGAACGUAGCGAAAUGCGAUACUUGGUGUGAAUUGCAGAAUCCCGUGAACCAUCGAGUCUUUGAACGCAAGUUGCGCCCGAGGCCUACUGGCCGAGGGCACGUCCGCCUGGGUGUCACGC
Molecule: ribosomal RNA, 161 nt
Filed under: Casearia arborea
Lineage: Eukaryota; Viridiplantae; Streptophyta; Magnoliopsida; Malpighiales; Salicaceae
Also listed under: 3 other names
Description: ITS1
Rfam family: 5.8S ribosomal RNA
About the family: 5.8S ribosomal RNA (5.8S rRNA) is a component of the large subunit of the eukaryotic ribosome.
Source: RNAcentral